RNAcentral lists this ribosomal RNA (501 nucleotides) under uncultured Pseudomonadota bacterium. Its description in RNAcentral is "bacterial SSU rRNA". It matches the Rfam family "Bacterial small subunit ribosomal RNA", at positions 378 to 896 of the family's 1533-position model. Lineage: Bacteria; Pseudomonadati; Pseudomonadota. The record is from RNAcentral.
CAACCCUGAUCCAGCAAUGCCGCGUGAGUGAUGAAGGCCUUCGGGUUGUAAAGCUCGUUUGGCGGGGACGAUGAUGACGGUACCCGCAGAAUAAGCCCCGGCUAACUUCGUGCCAGCAGCCGCGGUAAUACGAAGGGGGCUAGCGUUGUUCGGAAUUACUGGGCGUAAAGGGCGCGUAGGCGGCUCUGAUCGUCGGAUGUGAAAGGCCUGGGCUCAACCUGGGAACGGCAUCCGAUACGGCGGGGCUUGAGUGUGGGAGAGGUUGGUGGAAUUCCCAGUGUAGAGGUGAAAUUCGUAGAUAUUGGGAAGAACACCGGUGGCGAAGGCGGCCAACUGGACCACAACUGACGCUGAGGCGCGAAAGCGUGGGGAGCAAACAGGAUUAGAUACCCUGGUAGUCCACGCUGUAAACGAUGCGUGCUAGACGUUGGGAGCCCUAGGCUCUCGGUGUCGUCGCUAACGCUUUAAGCACGCCGCCUGGGGAGUACGGCCGCAAGGUUA